Molecule: ribosomal RNA, 1357 nt
Filed under: uncultured bacterium
Lineage: Bacteria
Description: bacterial SSU rRNA
Rfam family: Bacterial small subunit ribosomal RNA
Source: RNAcentral
GAUGAACGCUAGCGAUAGGCUUAACACAUGCAAGUCGAGGGGCAGCGCGAGGUAGCAAUACUUUGGCGGCGACCGGCGCACGGGUGCGUAACACGUAUGUAACUUACCUCUUACAACCGGAUAACACGGUGAAAGUCGUGCUAAUAUGGUAUAGUUUCACAUUUUUGCAUGAGAAGGUGAAUAAAGAUUUAUCGGUAAGAGAUAGACAUGCGGUCCAUUAGAUAGUUGGUGAGGUAACGGCUCACCAAGUCGACGAUGGAUAGGGGGACUGAGAGGUUGACCCCCCACACUGGUACUGAGACACGGACCAGACUCCUACGGGAGGCAGCAGUGAGGAAUAUUGGUCAAUGGGCGAGAGCCUGAACCAGCCAAGUCGCGUGAAGGAAGACGGUUCAUAAGGAUUGUAAACUUCUUUUGUAGAGGGGUAAAGGUGCGUACGUGUACGCAUUUGCAAGUACUCUACGAAUAAGUAUCGGCUAACUCCGUGCCAGCAGCCGCGGUAAUACGGGGGAUACGAGCGUUAUCCGGAAUUAUUGGGUUUAAAGGGUGCGUAGGUGGCUAUUUAAGUCAGGGGUGAAAAGCAUGAGCUCAACUCAUGUCUUGCCUUUGAAACUGGACAGCUAGAGAAGAGACGAGGUAUGUGGAAUGUGUGGUGUAGCGGUGAAAUGCAUAGAUAUCACACAGAACUCCGAUUGCGCAGGCAACGUACCAGACUUAUUCUGACACUGAAGCACGAAAGCGUGGGUAUCAAACAGGAUUAGAUACCCUGGUAGUCCACGCAGUAAACGAUGAAUACUAGUUUUUUGCGAUAUACGGUAAGAGACUAAGCGAAAGCGAUAAGUAUUCCACCUGGGGAGUACGCCGGCAACGGUGAAACUCAAAGGAAUUGACGGGGGCCCGCACAAGCGGAGGAACAUGUGGUUUAAUUCGAUGAUACGCGAGGAACCUUACCCGGGAUUGAAAUGUAGGAGUUAGAUGAUGAGAGUCAUUGUCCCUUCGGGGCUCCUAUGUAGGUGCUGCAUGGUUGUCGUCAGCUCGUGCCGUGAGGUGUUUGCUUAAGUGCAAUAACGAGCGCAACCCACGUUGAUAGUUACUAACAGGUUAAGCUGAGGACUCUAUCGAGACAGCCGUCGUAAGGCGAGAGGAAGGUGUGGAUGACGUCAAGUCAGCACGGCCCUUGCAUCCGGGGCGACACACGUGUUACAAUGGUGAGGACAGCAGGAAGCGACAUGGUGACAUGAAGCAGAUCCCAAAACCUCACCCCAGUUCGGAUCGGAGUCUGCAACUCGACUCCGUGAAGCCGGAUUCGCUGGUAAUCGCGCAUCAGCCAUGGCGCGGUGAAUACGUUCCCGGGCCU